Ribosomal RNA from Cavia aperea (Brazilian guinea pig), 137 nucleotides. The record is from Ensembl. NCBI's taxonomy places the organism in Eukaryota, Metazoa, Chordata, Mammalia, Rodentia, Caviidae.
GUCUACGGCCAUACCACCCUGAACGCGCCCGAUCUCGUCUGAUCUCGGAAGCUAAGCAGGGUCGGGCCUGGUUAGUACUUGGAUGGGAGAUUGUCUAAAUUUAUUGAGUGCCCCUGGGAAGCCUAGCAUUGUGUUUA